UACGGGGGGGGUAAGCGUUGUUCGGAAUUACUGGGCGUAAAGGGCUCGUAGGCGGCCUGUUAAGUCGGACGUGAAAUCCCUCGGCUCAACCGGGAAACUGCGUCCGAUACUGGCGGGCUUGAAUUCGGGAGAGGGAUGUGGAAUUCCAGGUGUAGCGGUGAAAUGCGUAGAUAUCUGGAGGAACACCGGUGGCGAAGGCGGCAUCCUGGACCGACAUUGACGCUGAGGCGCGAAAGCCAGGGGAGCAAACGGG
RNAcentral lists this ribosomal RNA (253 nucleotides) under uncultured bacterium. RNAcentral describes it as "partial 16S ribosomal RNA". It matches the Rfam family "Bacterial small subunit ribosomal RNA", at positions 524 to 776 of the family's 1533-position model. The record is from RNAcentral.